Molecule: ribosomal RNA, 416 nt
Filed under: uncultured bacterium
Lineage: Bacteria
Description: partial 16S ribosomal RNA
Rfam family: Bacterial small subunit ribosomal RNA
Source: RNAcentral
GAAUAUUGCGCACUGGGCGGCAGCCUUACGCAGUGACACCGCGUGGGGGAUGACAGCCUUACGGUUGUAACCCUCUUUAACCACACACGAAGGCUACCAGUGAUCUGGGGGUGGACGGCAGGUGGUGCAUAAGGUCCGGCUAAAUACGUGCCAGGAGCCGCGGUAAUACGUAGGUUCCAGGCGUUGUCCGGAAUUAUUGGGCGUAAAGAGCUCGUAGUCGGCCUGUCGCGUCUGCUGUGAAAGUCCGGGGCUUAACUUCGGGUGUGCAGUUGAUCCGGGCAGGCUUGAGGUAGGUAGGGGAGACUUGCAUUCCUGGUGUAGCGGUGAAAUGCGCAGAUAUCAGGAGGAACACCGGUGGCGAAGGCGGGUCUCUGGGCCUUACCUGACGCUGAGGAGCGAAAGCGUGGGGAGCGAAC